This 497-nucleotide ribosomal RNA is filed under the name uncultured bacterium. RNAcentral's name for it is "partial 16S ribosomal RNA". It matches the Rfam family "Bacterial small subunit ribosomal RNA", at positions 28 to 507 of the family's 1533-position model. The record is from RNAcentral.
GAUGAACGCUGGCGGCGUGCCUAAUACAUGCAAGUCGAGCGAACAGACGAGGAGCUUGCUCCUCUGACGUUAGCGGCGGACGGGUGAGUAACACGUGGAUAACCUACCUAUAAGACUGGGAUAACUUCGGGAAACCGGAGCUAAUACCGGACAAUAUAUUGAACCGCAUGGUUCAAUAGUGAAAGACGGUUUUGCUGUCACUUAUAGAUGGAUCCGCGUCGCAUUAGCUGGUUGGUAAGGUAACGGCUUACCAAGGCGACGAUGCGUAGCCGACCUGUGCGGGUGAUCGGCCACACUGGGACUGAGACACGGUCCAGACUCCUACGGGAGGCAGCGAUAGGGAAUCUUCCGCAAUGGGCGGAAGCCUGACGGAGCAGCGCCGCGUGAGUGAUGAAGGUCUUCGGAUCGUAAAACUCUGUUAGUAGGGAAGAACGAAUGUGUAAGUAACUAUGCACGUCUUGACGGUACCUAAUCAGGAAGCCACGGCUAACUACGUG